RNAcentral lists this ribosomal RNA (232 nucleotides) under uncultured bacterium. Its description in RNAcentral is "partial 16S ribosomal RNA". It matches the Rfam family "Bacterial small subunit ribosomal RNA", at positions 99 to 334 of the family's 1533-position model. The record is from RNAcentral.
CGGACGGGUGAGUAAUGUCUGGGAAACUGCCUGAUGGAGGGGGAUAACUACUGGAAACGGUAGCUAAUACCGCAUAACGUCGCAAGACCAAAGAGGGGGACCUUAGGGCCUCUUGCCAUCGGAUGUGCCCAGAUGGGAUUAGCUAAUAGGUGGGGUAACGGCUCACCUAGGCGACGAUCCCUAGCUGGUCUGAGAGGAUGACCAGCCACACUGGAACUGAGACACGGUCCAG